GACCAGCCCAGUGUGUUGGUAAAAGCAGGCAAUUUAUAUACAGGUUGUGAGGUUAUGUCUUCUAAUUCCUAGUCAUCUGCAAUGUCAAUUUAACAAGAGAGUCUUUUCUAGGUAGGGAAUUCUUGGCUUGUGGGAAAUCAGGCUGGCUUCUCGGGUUAUAACCUCCGGUGUCCCUUCGGUUCCUUUGCGGUGGUCGCUGUUUGCUUGGUACCCAGUCCGCAAUAGAGUUGUCGUGAAGUUGGCCAGUGCAGGCCAGCUGUGAGGAUGUCUCCGACUGUGUGAGGUCCUGCAGGCGAGGUGAGUGGGUGAGAACACCAGGAGUGGCUGCUGAUGGUAUCCGAGAGGUCUAGAUCAGUGGUUUUGUGUGGUGUCACUG
Molecule: non-coding RNA, 376 nt
Organism: Pelobates cultripes (western spadefoot toad)
Lineage: Eukaryota; Metazoa; Chordata; Amphibia; Anura; Pelobatidae
Source: the annotation of a GenBank genome assembly